RNAcentral lists this non-coding RNA (30 nucleotides) under Rattus norvegicus (Norway rat). The record is from RNAcentral. Lineage: Eukaryota; Metazoa; Chordata; Mammalia; Rodentia; Muridae.
UAGAAGAGUUGUUGACACCACGGGCAGACA